AUGAAGAGGAAAAAGAAGCAAUCAUCUAAAACCACUGAUGACAGAUCUGUUUCUGGAUGCUACGGAUCCGUCUCUUUCUCCUCGCUUCCCCUGGGGUUUCAAGUCCAGGAGACUAGGGUUUCAAGAUGCAGAUCUGUAUGCAGAGUAGAGAAUAUGGCCUCACAAGCCCUCAGGAGAAAAGGGAGCUUCCUAAGCUCAAGUGAUCAGACCCGUUAGUGAACAUCACAGAGUGUCUGGCAAGUGUCCUUGGCAUCAAUCUCCAGUGUCCCCACUCAGGCCAAAUUCAAACAACUACAAGGUCCAUGUCAACCCAGGGCCUGGAUCCUGCUUCACCCGGAUCAAGAUCCUAGGGACCAGAGAGGGUCAUCGAUCAUCUUCCUGGCCUAGGCACCUCAGGACUCCCCCACAGUUGAAGGAAACGCUUUUGUUUUUCAUCUCCAGUAUUCCUACUAUCCAUCCUCCAUCCCAGGGGAUGGGUGCAGUGGGGAGUCAAGUGAAACGGUCUAAGAAGACAGCUAUGAGAUUUGGUUAAUUUUCCAAAGAGGUGGUAAGACAGCUUCUGAUGUGAGCUGCGCUGUCCCGCUGAAAGGACUGGAGGUCAGAAGGGCCCUUUUGUUCAGAAUCCUUUUGCAUCUGAGAACUGUACUCAUUGUGUGGACCAGCCGACUCUGUUCUCCAUUUCUUUGUGUAUUUCGUGUUAUAUAACACUCAAGUGAACCCAGGCCAGACAGAUUAUGGGUUUUAGGGGGUUUUUUUUGUUUGUUUGUUUUUAAUUUUUUAAUUGAAGUAUAGUUGAUUUACAAUGUUGUGUUAGUUUCAGGUGUACAGAAAAGUGAUUAAGCUAUAUAUAUAUAUUCUUUUAUAUAUAAUAUACUUUUAUUUAUAAUAUAUGUAUUUUUCAGAUUCUUUUGCCAUAUAGGUUGUUACAAAAUACUGAGUAUAGUUCCUUAUGCUAUACAGUAGGUCCUUGUUGGUUAUCUCUUUUAUAUAUAGUACUCUGCUGUGUUUAGUCACUCAGUCAUGUCUGACUCUUUGCAACACUGUGGACUAUAGCCCACCAGCCUCCUCUGUCCAUGGAAUUUUACAGGUAAGAAUAUUGGAGUGGGUUGCCAUGCCCUCCUCCAGGGGAUCUUCCCAACCUAGGGAUUGAACCCAGGUCUCCUGCAUUGCAGGAGGAUUCUUUACUGUCUGAACCAUCAAGGAAACCUAAGAAUACUGGACUGGGUAGCCUAUCCCUGCUCCAGAGGAUCUUCCUGACCCAGGAAUCAAACCAGGGUCUCCUGCAUUGCAGGCGGAUUCUUUACUAGCUGAGCUACCAGGGAAGCCCAUGUAUAGUACCGUAUAUAUGUUAAUCCCAAACGGCUAAUUUAUCGCCUCCUUUCCUCCUUUGGCAGCCAGGGCUCAGGUGGUUAGUAAGAGUGACAUAGCCACAUAUGCACACAGUGGGGCAAGGCCAACUUGACACAUGAUGACCAGCUGCUCAACCUCUGAGAGCAUAGUCCUAUUUGUUCACCAGCAUAACAACUGGCAUAGCAGAGACAUGUAGUAGUUUUAAUUUAUGGUUUGGAACCAUAAA
This 1576-nucleotide long non-coding RNA is filed under the name Bos grunniens (domestic yak). RNAcentral describes it as "lncRNA (ENSBGRG00000020587.1)". Lineage: Eukaryota; Metazoa; Chordata; Mammalia; Artiodactyla; Bovidae. The record is from RNAcentral.